Molecule: ribosomal RNA, 466 nt
Filed under: uncultured bacterium
Lineage: Bacteria
Description: bacterial SSU rRNA
Rfam family: Bacterial small subunit ribosomal RNA
Source: RNAcentral
CCUACGGGUGGCUGCAGUGAGGAAUAUUGCGCAAUGGGGGCAACCCUGACGCAGCGACGCCGCGUGAGUGAGGAAGGCCUUCGGGUCGUAAAGCUCUGUCAAAGGGAAAGAAGUGUAUAAUGGCUAAUACCUGUUAUACUUGACGGUACCCUUAAAGGAAGCACCGGCUAACUCCGUGCCAGCAGCCGCGGUAAUACGGAGGGUGCAAGCGUUGUUCGGAAUUACUGGGCGUAAUGGGCGCGUAGGCGGUUUGAUAAGUCAGAUGUGAAAGCCCACGGCUUAACCGUGGAAGUGCAUUUGAUACUGUCAGACUUGAGUACCAGAGGGGAAAGUGGAAUUCCCGGUGUAGAGGUGAAAUUCGUAGAUAUCGGGAGGAAUACCGGUGGCGAAGGCGACUUUCUGGCUGAGUACUGACGCUGAGGCGCGAAAGCGUGGGGAGCAAACAGGAUUAGAUACCCCGGUANUC